UAUCUCUGUAGAGUCUGCAUAUCAAUAAGCGGAGGAAAAGAAACUAACUAGGAUUCCCUCAGUAACGGCGAGUGAAGCGGGAAGAGCUCAAAUUUGAAAUCUUCAAGGUUUUACCUUGACGAAUUGUAGUUUAAAGAAGUGUUUUCUGUUGGUGUUUUGGUAAAAGUUCUUUGGAAUAGGACAUCAUAGAGGGUGAGAAUCCCGUAUUUGACCAUUUACUUUCCAGCUUUGUGAUACACUUUCAAAGAGUCGGAUUGUUUGGGAAUGCAGUCCAAAAUGGGUGGUAAAUUUCAUCUAAAGCUAAAUAUUGGCGAGAGACCGAUAGCGAACAAGUACCGUGAGGGAAAGAUGAAAAGAACUUUGAAAAGAGAGUUAAACAGUACGUGAAAUUGUCAAAAGGGAAGCGUUUGACACCAGUGUUGUUUUCUCGAAAAUCAAUUAAAAAAGGCAGGAUUUUGUGUUGUAUUGACUUUAUCAGCUUUUCUGCACUCUUUUCUUGUCUUUUUUAAUGCACUUUUCGUUUAACAAGUCAACAUCAAUUUCUUUUGUUGUAAAAGGGUCAUUGGAAGGUGGCUUUCCUUUCGGAGAAAGUGUUUAUAGCCUUUGGCCUCUGCAAUCGGAGAGAUUGAGGUCUGCAGCGUAGAUCCUUCGGGGUUAGAUACAUUUGUGCUAAGUUAUAGCCUUUCAUAGACAACUUGUUGACUAUGAUCAGUCAUGUAGCUUACUCGCUUAUGCUAUUUUACCUACGCUUAGGAUGUUGACGAUCAGCUGAGCGCG
RNAcentral lists this ribosomal RNA (777 nucleotides) under uncultured Neocallimastigales. Its description in RNAcentral is "partial large subunit ribosomal RNA". It matches the Rfam family "Eukaryotic large subunit ribosomal RNA", at positions 24 to 628 of the family's 3401-position model. The record is from RNAcentral. Lineage: Eukaryota; Fungi; Neocallimastigomycota; Neocallimastigomycetes; Neocallimastigales.